GCUGAGUGUGAGUGAGAGUGCCCGCCAGGAUGAGGACAAGGGCAAAGCGGUCCGGACCAUGCCAGGUGGAACAGCCCAGACCUCAGGGACUCCUUACGUCAGAGAAUUGGGCUUGAGGAAACUUCUCCUCUUCCCACUGGGCAGCCUGCAACCACCCAGGGCCUGGCCUGGUUUUUCCAGUUGGACCAGAAACGCCUGCUGAGGUACAUUAACCCCUGGGGCUCAUGAGCAUCCUCCUUUGGGCCUGAAGGAGAGGAUAUUUCCUUGCACGCAUCUUGGCUGCCCCUGCAAAUGUCAGCCUCUGACCCUCACUGGGUAUGUUCAUAUUCACUGGCCGUGCAUCCAGGCAAGGACUGGAGUGUCUAAGUCUGGAUUCCAGGCCCCUAGGUUUGAGCGCACAUUGCCAAUGGCUGAGCCUCUGUUUUGGUCGGUGUUUAUUUCCGUCGAGCAGGGACUUGUGACCUGCCAGUCCUGCCUCACUGCCCCAGCUGUCCCAGGACAUGAUGGAUCAGAAGGCAAUUUUAAAAAGAGAAGAAAGUGCUAAACCAAUGCACAGAACCAAACAUAAAAUUCCAACCAUGGUCGGAAGGACCCAGUAACUGGGCGCAGAUGGGACUGGAUUUUUUUAGGUAUUGGCACAUUCUAGUUCUUCCCUGAAGCAACGGCCUAUUUACACAAGGCCUGAGCAUCUUAUGCUUCUGGAAGAGGGCGGUGCAUAUUUGCAAGAAGCUCUACUAGAGCCAGGCCCGUAUCGUACGGGGGCUGAAGUUUAUCCAUUGUGGGAGGACCCUCUUUAAGAAGUAAGCCACAAAAUUAUAAAAUAUGACACAAAAUUAUAAAUACGACAGCAGCCCAGGAGCAGGUAUCUAUUUAAAAUGAGAAAAGAACCCGCAAUGAAUUAUAAAUGCUCAAAAACCAGCAGUACUGCAACAUCAAACGACCGAAGAAUCUUAAUUCUGUAAUAUUUGAACUACAUUUUCAGGGUGCGUAUGCUUUGCUCACUUCUUAUGACAAUUUAUAAACAGCAUUUCUAAGGAGGGGAUGGAUGGACCCUCUGCCGUUCCCCAUCCUGGAAGCUUCCUGUCUCCAGCCCUCUGGAACCCACAAACGUGGGGCGCUGGGCAGCAUCGGAGAACCCGAACCAGCGCUGCGGGUGGUCGGAGCGUCCCUGGAAGCCGUUCCCACCCUUCACAGUUAACCACAAAUGACCUACACAUGACGGCAGACAACAUCAAAAUGACUCAUCCCAACCGAAAUGUACCCCCAACUCAGCUUCCCCUCAGCACGCGUCCAAAUGUGCCCGCGGCGGCUGUAGCAUCCACAAGAGCCCUGGGAUAAAGCCAACGUGUGGGCAGAAAGAAGCUGUGGUCCUCAGGAUUGCAGUGAAAAUAUUUCACCUUUGCAAUGUUGGCAAAAUGCUGUGACCGCACGGUCGCCGUCCCAGGGCUGCCAGGUGACAGGACUGAGCCCAGACCCCAUCCUGCGGGUGCCCUCUGUGAUGACCAGCCUCUGCGCCCUGAUUUUUCUGCAGCCUCACUUGGUUAGUUUAGAAGAAAAGCACUCGUGGCCCAUUCUCUUUCCCUAAUUACUAGCUAGAAGGAGCGGCGCACUGAGGCCAUUGGGCCUGGUGUUGGGGGGAUCAACGUAGGUGGGAAGGAGACUGAGUGUCUGCUGGGAGGUGACUCAUUCAGGCUUGGAUAGUUCCAUCUGCAGCGCAGAUUCCAGGGAGGCCCAAAUGGAGAUGGCAUUGAGGGAGGGAAACGAAGGCUUGAGUCUGGAGCUGCAGAGAGACCCGGGGGAAGGUGGAAACGUGGCCAUCAUUUGAGCUCAGAAGCAGAGAGAGCCAAUAAAGCCUGAGGUUGGGCCCGGUCGCUGAGCCUCAAGCUGGUAGCGACAGCUCAGGGGACGGAGCCCUGGGGACAGCAGAGGGUGUGGAAUGGGGCAGGGUGGGGCCCUGCGCUGACUUGUGCGCCACCCCCCAAGCUCAUCCACGGAAGGCCUGGGCCCUGGAACCUCGGCGGGUGACUGUGUUUGGAGACCCAGCUCCUUGAAGGAAGUGCUCAGUUCAAAUGAGAGGGUUAGAGUGGCUCUUGCCCGAGCCCACUGGUGCCAGAGGGAGAGGAAAUGCAGAGACGCCAGGGAGUGCGUGUCCAGAGGACGACCACGUGAGGGUACGGGAGAAGGCAGCCGUCUGCAGGCCUCGGAGAGAUGGCCACGGGAGACGCCAGCCCUGUCCACACCUGGCUCUCGGGCCUCCAGCGUCUGGACUGUAAGAGGAUGGUUCCUCAGGCUAUAGGAUUGCUUUAGCAGCCCCAGGGGACUCCUACAGACAUCCAAGAGAAACUGUGCCCCGGGAGGUGGGGGACAAUCAGUCAUGAGGCUGUUGGGGGCCACAUCAGGUGAGGACUGACCGUGACCUCCCAGGUUGCAUUCUGAAUUUUUGUCUGAUAAUAAAUGGGCAGCUAAAUCUUUGAAA
Canis lupus familiaris (dog) is the source of this 2476-nucleotide long non-coding RNA. RefSeq lists it as uncharacterized. The transcript is spliced from 3 exons. The record is from RefSeq and is a predicted model, not a curated record. Lineage: Eukaryota; Metazoa; Chordata; Mammalia; Carnivora; Canidae.